RNAcentral lists this ribosomal RNA (561 nucleotides) under uncultured delta proteobacterium. Its description in RNAcentral is "bacterial SSU rRNA". It matches the Rfam family "Bacterial small subunit ribosomal RNA", at positions 505 to 1061 of the family's 1533-position model. Lineage: Bacteria; Deltaproteobacteria. The record is from RNAcentral.
GUGCCAGCACGCCCGCGGUAAUACGGGGGGUGCUAGCGUUGUUCGGAAUCAUUGGGCGUAAAGAGCGUGUAGGCGGCUGGAUAAGUCAGAUGUGAAAGCCCUGGGCUUAACCCAGGAAGUGCAUUUGAAACUGUUCAGCUUGAGUAAGGGAGAGGAAAGUGGAAUUCCUGGUGUAGAGGUGAAAUUCGUAGAUAUCAGGAGGAACACCGGUGGCGAAGGCGACUUUCUGGCCCUAUACUGACGCUGAGACGCGAGAGCGUGGGUAGCAAACAGGAUUAGAUACCCUGGUAGUCCACGCUGUAAACGAUGUUCACUAGGUGUUGGGGGUAUUGACCCUCUCAGUGCCGCAGCUAACGCAUUAAGUGAACCGCCUGGGGAGUACCGUCGCAAGAUUAAAACUCAAAGGAAUUGACGGGGGCCCGCACAAGCGGUGGAGCAUGUGGUUAAUUCGAUGCAACGCGGAGAACCUUACCUAGGCUUGACAUCCAAGAAUCUUCCUGGAAACAGGAGAAUGCCCUUUGGGGAACCCUGGAACAGGUGCUGCAUGGCUUUCGUCAACUU